Molecule: ribosomal RNA, 301 nt
Filed under: uncultured bacterium
Lineage: Bacteria
Description: partial 16S ribosomal RNA
Rfam family: Bacterial small subunit ribosomal RNA
Source: RNAcentral
CAGUAGCCGCGGGAAUACGUAGGGUGCAAGCGUUAAUCGGAAUUACUGGGCGUAAAGCGUGCGCAGGCGGUUAUAUAAGACAGAUGUGAAAUCCCCGGGCUCAACCUGGGAACUGCAUUUGUGACUGUAUAGCUAGAGUACGGCAGAGGGGGAUGGAAUUCCGCGUGUAGCAGUGAAAUGCGUAGAUAUGCGGAGGAACACCGAUGGCGAAGGCAAUCCCCUGGGCCUGUACUGACGCUCAUGCACGAAAGCGUGGGGAGCAAACAGGAUUAGAUACCCCGUAGUCCCUGUCUCUUAUACA